Molecule: transfer RNA, 76 nt
Filed under: Candidatus Gottesmanbacteria bacterium RBG_16_37_8
Lineage: Bacteria; Candidatus Gottesmaniibacteriota
Description: tRNA-Ala
Rfam family: tRNA
About the family: Transfer RNA (tRNA) molecules are approximately 80 nucleotides in length. Their secondary structure includes four short double-helical elements and three loops (D, anti-codon, and T loops).
Source: RNAcentral
GGGCUCGUAGUUCAGCUGGUAGAACACUCGGUUCGCAUCCGAGAGGUAGGCGGUUCGAGUCCGCCCGAGUCCACCU